This 31-nucleotide non-coding RNA is filed under the name Homo sapiens (human). The record is from RNAcentral. Lineage: Eukaryota; Metazoa; Chordata; Mammalia; Primates; Hominidae.
UGGGUCCAUUUUGUCUAUCCAUGGGAUACGA